AUGGCUGUUAUCAAGAAAUCAAAAAAAACAACUGCAUGUGAGAGUAACUUGGGAGAUUUUUACAGCUCAGGUCAACCCAAUAUCUGUGGCCAACACUCAUUAAUUG
RNAcentral lists this small nucleolar RNA (106 nucleotides) under Cavia aperea (Brazilian guinea pig). RNAcentral describes it as "Small nucleolar RNA SNORA44 (ENSCAPG00000003527.1)". The record is from RNAcentral. Lineage: Eukaryota; Metazoa; Chordata; Mammalia; Rodentia; Caviidae.